GGUAGCCUAUGACAACAAAAACUAAAAUCAUCCUGUAUGACAGAACUAUAGACUGUUUUGCCAACAUGAAAGAGAGGAGGAUGGCAUUGCCGUGCAACUUGUCUACAACAAGUAGGACUAAUCCUGCUUCUGCUGAUGAUGACGGUGACCUUAACACCAGUUUUAGUAGUAGAGCCCGUAUACCCAUUGGAUGAAAGCGUUCAGCCUGGAAUAUGCUCACGCUCAACAUCUGAAGCAAGCCAGGACAGCCAAAGAUGACCAUGGUUUCUUGUAUGGCUACACAUCCUCAUGAUCAGUCUUUGUCUUUCCAGGAGACUUGCAGUAUAAAUAAAUAUACUGCAAGUCUCCUGGAGCAGUGGGUUGUAAAGAAAGUGUAUGAGAGGCUUGUCUACCUGGCUGUGGAGUGCAGAAAGGACACAGCUGCCAUUACCCAACACAAGAAGAGGAUCACCAGCUGAACAUUCUGGAACAUGCACUCUUAGGAUAAAAAGGUGCUAUCUGGAACCUAAAAGGGUUCUUUGGCUGUCCCUAGAGGAGAAUCCUUUGAAAAACCUUUUGGGUUCCAUGUAGAACCAUUUCCCUCGAAAAUGUAAUCUAUGUAAUCCCCAAAAGUAAUUAUUUAUUAUGUGGGCCAUAAACAAUAACUAGUAAUGCUGCAUACUCAAAGAAAGGUUAAAAUCUCACCUUUCUGGUAAACAUUGUUAUAAAUUGUUGAGGUGUAGUCAGUUUUGAGGACACAAGCUUAAGUACACAGUUAAAUUAUGAUACAUGAUGUAUUUCCUAUUCAACAAAACUGUAUGAAUAAGGCUUGAAAUGACAUACAGUAUGCUUUCUAAAUAUAGCAUAAUGAAAUUAUAU
RNAcentral lists this long non-coding RNA (858 nucleotides) under Salmo salar (Atlantic salmon). RNAcentral describes it as "lncRNA (ENSSSAG00000104365.1)". The record is from RNAcentral. Lineage: Eukaryota; Metazoa; Chordata; Actinopteri; Salmoniformes; Salmonidae.